AACGCACAUUGCGCUCUCUGGUAUUCCGGGGGGCAUGCCUGUCCGAGCGUCAUUGCACACCCCUCAAGCCCGGCUUGUGUGUUGGGACCCGUGGCCGCUCUCCCUCCCCGGGGGAUGGCCGCGGGCCUGGAAUGCAGUGGCGGCGUCGUGAUCUCGGUGCCCUGAGUGUAUGGGAAAUCCAAAACUUCUCCGGUUCACGCUCAAGAGGGUCCGACGCGAAUCGCCCCGAAAUCGAGAGUCUCUCUCUCCUCAGGUUUGACCUCGGAUCAGGUAGGAGUACCCGCUGAACUUAA
This 293-nucleotide unclassified non-coding RNA is filed under the name uncultured fungus. RNAcentral describes it as "partial contains 5.8S ribosomal RNA, internal transcribed spacer 2, and large subunit ribosomal RNA". Lineage: Eukaryota; Fungi. The record is from RNAcentral.